GUAACUGAAAAAGUGACGUGUGUAAGAUUCCCAACUCAAAACUUCCUAUUUUGAAAUCCUAUUUGGACUGGGAUUUUCUUUAAAGCGUUACAUUAACGCAAAUCCAAUUGGAAUAUGGAUUUCACCUCUAUAAAAUGGAGCGGACCAUUUCCUAUGCAACAGUUCUGAUUGUUUGCAUUUCUUGAGUUUCUAAAUUUCUAUGAGUUUUUUUUACCUCUAUAAAGUGAAAUAACGUGAAGCUCAGAUAUAGCGGUGAAGCUUCAUUUGCUGACAAUGGGUUUUCCUCCAUUUCAGAGGGUAGAGAAUUUAGGAAGCUAAUUUUCAUGAUCUUCUUCCUAAAGUUGGGGUUUAGCACGCAAGGCCUUGCUUUCAAGUUGCUCUGCUCGUGGCUUAUCGUCCUUCCUCCGUUGCAAGAAUUUUGCUCAAGUGUUACCAAGCAAUGCCAGUGUUAAGUGCUUGAGAGAUGCAGGCCUCUUUUUGGAUGUAAAAAUUGUCACCCUGAACCCCAGCAUGAGGGUAUUCUACGAUAAUCUUGUUUCUUUACAGUGUAUUUUUCCGUGGUACGCACUAAGGUUCAUGACGGUUUCAUUCUUCAUCUCAAACACAGCUUAUGAUGUGUACAAAGUAAUUUCUAAACUAACCGGCAAAAAAUCAACCCAUGUUCCUUAUCGGGAUUCAAAACUCACACGAUUAUUGCGGUGUGACCAUGGGCAGAUCUCUAUAAGUCAAAUGAUCGAGUCCAGUUGAUAUUUGUUACUUUGAAGCAUCAGUCUCACAACAGAUUAAUCUGUUAUUCAACUCCUUCAAUCAAGUCAAACACAACAUCUUGCUUCAUCUCAAAUAUUUUUCUUCAAUUGAACUGCUGUGUUGGGUAAUUUUCAUGGACUGGGAGCACAAUCAUGGAUGGAGUUGAUUGCAAAGCACCAUGGCGUGGUCCCAUUUUCAGGAUUCCAAUUACCAUAACAAAACCUAUGACUGAACAAUCGUCCUCCUUUUGUAUCAUUUACAAGGAUGUCAUUUCAACCAGGUAAGCUUAGUUAUUUUUUUUUGAUCUGGUGAUGACUUUGUUAUUGCUCUUUCUCUUGCAGAUUCAGAAUUCAUUCACAACAGAUUAAUCUGUAAUUCAACUCCUUCAAUCAAGUUUCUUGCUUCAUCUCAAAUAUUUUUCUCCCUUUGAGCUGCUCUUGUUAGCUGAAGUUGAAGUUUAUUUUAACAGUGGAGUGUGCAAGUCGAACCCCAGUUUUGUGAAGGUGCUAUUAAUUUGGAAGAGUGCAUUGAGUUACAUUCAACGGAAAAGGAGGUUUGAUGUCUGCUGAGUACAUUCUCCUUACUCACUAUGGACGCAGCUUCAAAUUUCUACAACUGGAAUUGAGCGGAGCUUAGAUAUUGUGAUGGAGCUUCAUUUACUGGAGAUACUAGCUUUGACAAUAGGACGCAGAGAAUUUGGGAAGCUAACUUUCAUGAUCUUCUUCCUAAAGGGUUGGGGUUAGCAUGCAAGGCCUUGCUUUCAGGUUGAUCUGCUAGUGAUUUAUUAUCCUUCCUCUAGUGCGAGAACUUUGUUAAGUACUUCAGUGAUUCAGGCUUCUUUUUGGAUAAAGAAAAGAUGUCACCUUGAACCACACAAUGAGAGUAUUAUAUACAAAAAUCUUGUUUCUUUACAGGGAAUGGAAAAGAGUUUGAACAAAAAUUGCAUUCAUUUCUAUAAAGAUCUCAAACUAUGCAUUGUUCCAAAGUAUGCAUUAAGGUUCAUUAUAGUACCAUUCUUCAUCUUAAACACAGCUUAUGAUGUGUACCCCAGAUUCAUAAGGGUGCUAGUAAUUUGGAAGAGUGCAUUGAGUUACAUUCAACGAAAUAGGAUUCCUAUGAGCUAGCGUAUUCGUUAGAUGGGAAAUGCAAAUACAUGGUUGAAGAAGAUGCUAGAAGCUAUGCUCUGUGGUGAAAGAUUAUAGAAAGAACAUGUUUAAGCUUAGGAGGAAGCCAGGAGAGAUUGGACUGUGGGAGGGUACGAAGAGUCAGUGAGGAGGAAGCCAUUCUUGCAUUAUUGCUGCAAUGAAUGAAGCCAUGGAUAAAGCAGAGGCUAAAUUGAGAAAGAGGGAAUAUUUGAACGCUGUUAGAAGUAGAUAUAGAUAUGGAAGAAGUUUAGCAGACAUAAAUACGGGAGAGAUUGGACUGUGAGAGGCUACAAAGAGAAAAUGAGGAGGAAGAGAGAGAGAAAGAAAGCACAUGAGAGAGAGAGGAAAUUUGAUUACUUUUUACAGCUUUUCUCGUUUCCAUAACAUUUUCACAUUCUUUUAAUAUAUCUGCUUUUGGUGUACAGUGGAGACGACAAAGAUGAUGGUGUAGAGAGGGUUGUGUAUCUCCAUAAAAUAUGGGAUCCCAUCGUGGCAAGGAAUUCUAUCUAUGGUAGGCUAGUGCUUGUCAACAAUCUACAAAGGUGUGUUAUUUUCCUCCAUUUCAGAGGGCAGAGAAUUUGAGAAGCUAACUUUCAUGAUCUUCUUCUUAGAGGGUUGCGGUUUAGCACGCAAGGCCUUGCUUUCUGAUGCUCUGCUGGUGGUUUAUCGUCCUUCCUCAAUUGCGAGAAUUUGGAUAAGUUGUUCCCAAGCAAUGCCACUGCAUCAGUUUUCCUCCAUUUCAGAGGGUAGAGAAUUUAGGAAGCUAACUUUCAUGAUCUUCUUCCUAAAGUUGGGGUUUAGCAUGCAAGGCCUUGCUUCCAAGUUGCUCUGCUCGUGGCUUAUAGUCCUUCCUCCGUUGCAAGAAUUUUGCUCAAGUGUUACCAAGCAAUGCCAGUGUUAAGUGCUUGAGAGAUGCAGGCCUCUUUUUGGAUGUAAAAAUUGUCACCCUGAACCCCAGCAUGAGGGUAUUCUACGAUAAUCUUGUUUCUUUACAGGGAAUGGAAAAGACUCUGAUCAAAAAUUGCAUUCGUUCCUAUAAAGAUCCCAAACUAGUAGUAAUUUCUAAACUAACCGGCGAAAAAUCAACCCAUGUUCCUUAUCGGGAUUCAAAACUCACACGAUUAUUGCGGUGUGACCAUGGGCAGAUCUCUAUAAGUCAAAUGGUCGAGUCCAGUUGAUAUUUGUUACUUUGAAGCAUCAGUCUCACAACAGAUUAAUCUGUUAUUCAACUCCUUCAAUCAAGUCAAACACAACAUCUUGCUUCAUCUCAAAUAUUUUUCUUCAAUUGAACUGCUGUGUUGGGUAAUUUUCAUUGACUGGGAGCACAAUCAUGGAUAGAGUUGAUUGCAAAGCACCAUGGCGUGGUCCCAUUUUCAGGAUUCCAAUUACCAUAACAAAACCUAUGACUGAACAAUAGCCUCCUUUUGUAUCAGUUACAAGGAUGUCAUUUCAACCAGGUAAGCUUAGUUAUUUUUUCUGAUCUGAUGAUGACUUUGUUAUUGCUCUUUCUCUUGCAGAUUCAGAAUUCAUUCACAACAGAUUAAUCUGUAAUUUAACUCCUUCAAUCAAGUUUCUUGCUUCAUCUCAAAUAUUUUUCUCCCUUUGAGCUGCUCUUGUUAGCAGCUGAAGUUGAAGUUUAUUUUAACAGUGGAGUGUGCAAGUUGAACCCCAGUUUUGUGAAGGUGCUAUUAAUUUGGAAGAGUGCAUUGAGUUACAUUCAACGGAAAAGGAGGUUUGAUGUCUGCUGAGUACAUUCUCCUUACUCACAAUGGACGCAGCUUCAAACGCAGAGAAUUUGGGAAGCUAACUUUCAUGAUCUUCUUCCUAAAGGGUUGGGGUUAGCAUGCAAGGCCUUGCUUUCAGGUUGAUCUGCUAGUGAUUUAUUAUCCUUCCUCUAGUGCGAGAACUUUGUUAAGUACUUCAGUGAUUCAGGCUUCUUUUUGGAUAAAGAAAAGAUGUCACCUUGAACCACACAAUGAGAGUAUUAUAUACAAAAAUCUUGUUUCUUUACAGGGAAUGGAAAAGAGUUUGAACAAAAAUUGCAUUCAUUUCUAUAAAGAUCUCAAACUAUGCAUUGUUCCAAAGUAUGCAUUAAGGUUCAUUAUAGUACCAUUCUUCAUCUUAAACACAGCUUAUGAUGUGUACCCCAGAUUCAUAAGGGUGCUAGUAAUUUGGAAGAGUGCAUUGAGUUACAUUCAACGAAAUAGGAUUCCUAUGAGCUAGCGUAUUCGUUAGAUGGGAAAUGCAAAUACAUGGUUGAAGAAGAUGCUAGAAGCUAUGCUCCUGUGGUGAAAGAUUAUAGAAAGAACAUGUUUAAGCUUAGGAGGAAGCCAGGAGAGAUUGGACUGUGGGAGGGUACGAAGAGUCAGUGAGGAGGAAGCCAUUCUUGCAUUAUUGCUGCAAUGAAUGAAGCCAUGGAUAAAGCAGAGGCUAAAUUGAGAAAGAGGGAAUAUUUGAACGCUGUUAGAAGUAGAUAUAGAUAUGGAAGAAGUUUAGCAGACAUAAAUACGGGAGAGAUUGGACUGUGAGAGGCUACAAAGAGAAAAUGAGGAGGAAGAGAGAGAGAAAGAAAGCACAUGAGAGAGAGAGGAAAUUUGAUUACUUUUUACAGCUUUUCUCGUUUCCAUAACAUUUUCACAUUCUUUUAAUAUAUCUGCUUUUGGUGUACAGUGGAGACGACAAAGAUGAUGGUGUAGAGAGGGUUGUGUAUCUCCAUAAAAUAUGGGAUCCCAUCGUGGCAAGGAAUUCUAUCUAUGGUAGGCUAGUGCUUGUCAACAAUCUACAAAGGUGUGUUAUUUUCCUCCAUUUCAGAGGGCAGAGAAUUUGAGAAGCUAACUUUCAUGAUCUUCUUCUUAGAGGGUUGCGGUUUAGCACGCAAGGCCUUGCUUUCUGAUGCCACUGUUAAGUGUUUGACUGAUGCAGGCCUCUUUUUGGAUGUAAAGCCGUCAGUGUCACCUUGAACCCCAGCAUGAGGGUAUUCCACGAUAAUCUUGUUUCUUUAUAGGGAAUGAGAAAGACUCUAAACAAAAAUUGUACCUGUUUCUAUAAAGAUCCCAAACUAUGCAUUUUUCCGCAGUAUGCACUAAGGUUCAUGACAGUACCAUUCUUCAUCUUAUACACACCUUAUAAUGUCUACCAAAUCCUAAAUUUUUGAAUCUUUCCACUUGAUGCGGGUAAUUUCUUAACUAACCGGCGAAAAAUCAACCCAUGUUCCAACUCACACGUUUAUGCAGUGUGACCAUGGGCGGAUCUCUAUAAGGCAAAUGGUAGAGUCCAGUUGAUAUCUUUUGGUAUUUGUACAAAUGGUGCCUGCAUUUGGUUACUUUGAAGCUUCAGAUUCACAACAGAUUAAUCUGUUAUUCAACUCCUUCGAUCAAGUCAUACAUAACAUCUUGCUUCAUCUCAAAUAUUUUUCUCCAAUUAAGUGGCUCUUGUUGGACUGAGAGCACAAUCACGGAUCACAUGGAUUUGCUUCAUGAGCAGGUUAAAUUGUUAGCUGAAGAUUCACAACUAAAGCAUUGUGGUUGAUCCUACCAAGCUAAGUGGCGGUUUACAUAAUUAUGAAAGUGGAUGGAGUUGAUUGCAAAGCACCAUGGCAUGGUUCCAUUUUCAGGAUUCCAAUUACCAUAACAAAACCUAUGACUGUGAACAAUCGUCCUCCUAUUGUAUCAUUUACAAGGAUGUCAUUUCAGCCAGGUCAGUUUAGUUAGUUUCUAUGAUCUCAUGAUAACUUUGUUGCUGCUCUUCUUCUUGCAGAUUCAGAUCACUAUAGAUUAAUCUCUAGUUCAACUCCUUCAAUCAAGUGUCUUACUUCAUCUCAAAUAUUUUUCUCACUUUGAGCUGCUUUUGUUGGCAGAUGAAGUUGAAGUUUAUUUUAACAGUGGAGUGUGCAAGUUGAAACCUGGUUUCAUGAAAGUGCUAGUAAUUUGGAAGAGUGCAUUGAGUUACAUUCAAUUGAAAAGGCAGUUGGCAAUGGAUCUUGAGUACAUUCUCCUUACUCACAAUGGAUGCAGAUUCAAAACUGAGUGAAGCUCAGAUAUUGUGAUGGAGCUUCAUUUACUGGAGAUACCAGUUUUGACAAUGGGACAUCAGUUCUCCAUUUCAGAGGGCAGGAGCUAUCAGAUCUUCUUUCGAAAGGGUUGGGUUAGCACGAAAGGCCUUGCUUUCAGGUUGAUCUGCUGGUGGUUUAUAAUCCUUCCUCCACUGGGAGAACUUUGCUAAGGUGUUACCAAGCAUGCCAGUGGUAAGUGUUUGAGUGAUGCAGUCUUCGAGUGAUGCAGUCUUCUUUUUGGAUGAGAAAGAAGUCACCUUGAACCAUACCAUAAGGCUAUUAUAUGAAAAUCUUGUUUCCUUGCAGGGAAUUGAAAAGCAUCUGAACAAAAAUUGUACCUGUUUCUAUAAAGACCUAAAACUAUGCUUUUUUCCGCAGUAUGUAUU
This is a long non-coding RNA of Mercurialis annua (annual mercury), 6329 nucleotides long. RefSeq lists it as uncharacterized. The transcript has 50 exons. NCBI's taxonomy places the organism in Eukaryota, Viridiplantae, Streptophyta, Magnoliopsida, Malpighiales, Euphorbiaceae. The record is from RefSeq and is a predicted model, not a curated record.